This 905-nucleotide ribosomal RNA is filed under the name uncultured bacterium. RNAcentral's name for it is "bacterial SSU rRNA". It matches the Rfam family "Bacterial small subunit ribosomal RNA", at positions 8 to 916 of the family's 1533-position model. The record is from RNAcentral.
AGAGUUUGAUCCUGGCUCAGGAUGAACGCUAGCGGCAGGCCUAAUACAUGCAAGUCGAACGGGGUGUUGCAGCAAUGCAACAUUCAGUGGCGCACGGGUGCGUAACGCGUAUGCAACCUACCUUAAACUGGGGGAUAGCCUUCCGAAAGGGAGAUUAAUACCGCAUAAGAUCACGAGAGGGCAUCUGAUUGUGAUUAAAGAUUUAUUGGUUUAAGAUGGGCAUGCGUGCCAUUAGCUAGUUGGUAGGGUAAUGGCCUACCAAGGCUACGAUGGCUAGGGGUUCUGAGAGGAUGAUCCCCCACACUGGUACUGAGAUACGGACCAGACUCCUACGGGAGGCAGCAGUAGGGAAUAUUGGGCAAUGGACGGAAGUCUGACCCAGCCAUGCCGCGUGCAGGAUGAAGGCCUUCUGGGUUGUAAACUGCUUUUAUCUAGGAAGAAAACACCCAUGCGUGGGAAACUGACGGUACUAGAUGAAUAAGCACCGGCUAACUCCGUGCCAGCAGCCGCGGUAAUACGGAGGGUGCAAGCGUUGUCCGGAUUUAUUGGGUUUAAAGGGUGCGUAGGCGGCCCGGUAAGUCAGUGGUGAAAGCCUCCAGCUCAACUGGAGAACUGCCAUUGAUACUGCCGGGCUUGAGUACAGACGAGGUUGGCGGAAUUGACUGUGUAGCGGUGAAAUGCAUAGAUACAAUCAAGAACUCCGAUUGCGUAGGCAGCUAACUAGGCUGUAACUGACGCUGAGGCACGAAAGCGUGGGGAGCGAACAGGAUUAGAUACCCUGGUAGUCCACGCCGUAAACGAUGAUUACUCGAUGUUGGCGAUAAACUGUCAGCGUCUUAGCGAAAGCGUUAAGUAAUCCACCUGGGGAGUACGCCCGCAAGGGUGAAACUCAAAGGAAUUGACGG